UAGAUAAGAAGCAAGAAGCAAAGAGGAAGUGGGCGGAGGCAAAGAAAAGAAUAGAAGAGGAACAAAAAAAAGAAGUUGAAGAGAAGAAAAAGAGGAGUAGCCAAGCAGAGGGAGGAGGAAAAAGAUCUCAGGAAGAAGGAGGAAAUGAAGGGAGGAAGAAAAAGAAAGGAAGGAAGGAAAGAAAGAAAAACAAAGGGUUGAAGAAGAGAAAGAAGAGCAAAAAAGGGAUAAAGGAGGAGAGGCGAACAUAGACUAUCCUGCUGAUAU
RNAcentral lists this long non-coding RNA (267 nucleotides) under Ananas comosus (pineapple). Its description in RNAcentral is "long non-coding RNA (ACOM_LNC038934)". The record is from RNAcentral. Lineage: Eukaryota; Viridiplantae; Streptophyta; Magnoliopsida; Poales; Bromeliaceae.